UGUUCAGCUCCACAUUGAGGUCAGAGGCUGUCACUAAAACUUAAAUUGUAUGCUUCCUUGGUUAUCUAAUUCAUGGUGGUCCAGUUUAUGAACAUCUAAAAGAACAAUUUUUUUCUGAUUAAUGUCAACUGAGUUUAGGGUAUAUCCCAGAUUUCUUAGCUGCUCUUAUUUACUUUUAGAGGUAUUUCAGCAGUAAGCGAUGUAAG
This 206-nucleotide long non-coding RNA is filed under the name Octodon degus (degu). RNAcentral describes it as "ST7 overlapping transcript 4 conserved region 4 (ENSODEG00000023834.1)". It matches the Rfam family "ST7 overlapping transcript 4 conserved region 4". Lineage: Eukaryota; Metazoa; Chordata; Mammalia; Rodentia; Octodontidae. The record is from RNAcentral.